This 510-nucleotide ribosomal RNA is filed under the name uncultured delta proteobacterium. RNAcentral describes it as "bacterial SSU rRNA". It matches the Rfam family "Bacterial small subunit ribosomal RNA", at positions 31 to 523 of the family's 1533-position model. The record is from RNAcentral. Lineage: Bacteria; Deltaproteobacteria.
GAACGUUAGCGGCGCGCCUAAUACAUGCAAGUCGUGCGAGAAAGGGCUUCGGCCCCGGUAAAGCGGCGCACGGGUGAGUAACACGUAGGUGAUCUCCCCUCGAGUGGUGGAUAACCCUCCGAAAGGAGGACUAAUACAGCAUGAGACCACGGCUCUUCGGAGUCGUGGCCAAAGCAGGCCACUGUACACAAGCUUGUGCUCGAGGAUGAGCCUGCGGCCCAUCAGCUAGUUGGCAGGGUAACGGCCUACCAAGGCUAAGACGGGUAGCUGGUCUGAGAGGAUGAACAGCCACACUGGAACUGAGACACGGUCCAGACUCCUACGGGAGGCAGCAGUAGGGAAUCUUGCGCAAUGGGCGAAAGCCUGACGCAGCGACGCCGCGUGAGCGAUGAAGGCCUUCGGGUUGUAAAGCUCUGUGGGGAGGGACGAAUAAGGUUUGGCUAAUAUCCAAGCCGAUGACGGUACCUCCUUAGCAAGCACCGGCUAACUCUGUGCCAGCAGCCGCGGUAA